CCAGAUGCAAGUUUUAAAUGUACAUUGUAUAUCAAUAUUUUAAUGUGAUGAACUGAAUGUCUAAACAAAUACAAUAUUCUAGUGAUAAUUAUUCAUCCUAUAAUACUACAUACACCUUUAACAAUCCAUGCAUUACAAUUCUAGUAUAACUUGUGCACGAACGAAAUGACUCCUUGGUACUCCGACCAUACACCGGUUGCUCAAGCCUCUUCUUAAAUCGCUAAAAGCACCUCACUUUCAAGUCACCAACACUAAUAGCAGUGAGGCUAAGGUCAUACUCAGCAAUUGGAAACUGGAUAAUGAGAUGACGGCCUUAGAUUCUACAAUUAGCGGCUGCAAAUAAAAAAAGGAGGAGGAAAAAAGACUGCUGUUAUAAAACGAGGCAUGCUAUAUUGUAUCAUAACAUAAAGCAGACUAACAUCUUGACCAAAAAUGGAUGACAACCACUGAUACCGGCAGGUUAGACGCUUUAUAUCUUCAACUG
RNAcentral lists this long non-coding RNA (484 nucleotides) under Nicotiana tabacum (common tobacco). RNAcentral's name for it is "long non-coding RNA (NTAB_LNC005122)". Lineage: Eukaryota; Viridiplantae; Streptophyta; Magnoliopsida; Solanales; Solanaceae. The record is from RNAcentral.